AGUAUCGCGAGAUCAGGAAGGUGGCCGAGUGUGUCGCCGCGGCCAUCAGGGCAUAGAUAAGGAAGAAAAAAGUUUUGGAAACUACUUCUGAGAGGGAAAAAUAUGCCUGAAAUUAACCAACAGCCAGCUUGUACUUAACAUACAAAAUAAACAAAAGAAUCAACUAUUGUGUAAGGAGAGAACCCCGAAAUGUUCCUCGUUAAUCGAAAUUCAAGAGUAUUAGCGUCGGGAAAGAUCUAGAGAGUCAACUCCCUCAUAUUAAAGAAGAGAAGAUGGAUUGCUGUCCUACAUUCAAAGGAGGCCAUUAGGAGCAUGAACCAAGGGAAGCUGGUUUUCCUUCUAUGCCUCUGCCAGGUUAUUAAAUCACCAGGCCUCCUAAUCAAGAAUUGCUCUUCGUGUGGAAGAACUCCUCUUCACCUGUUGCUUCCUCAUAUUAUUUCCUGCCUCAGAGAUGUAGAGGAACUGUAAAAUUAGAAUAGGAUGUUUGGGUCUAGACAAAUCCCAGUGAAAGCUAAAUUAUGGAAAUUUAGUCUUUGUAUAACAAAUGAAAACCCUAAGUAGGCUGCCAAGGUACAAAAGCUUUCUUAACCCGAGACAUUGCAAAUACAACGUACUAAGUGAAAAAAGGAGUGGGUGGGGAACAGUGGGAGUAGAAGGCUGUCUAAAGGGAAGCUAGGAAAAUGGAAAGUAAUAUGGAGAAGCAACAUGCUCCAAGUGGAGUGUUUUACUAUUUCAUUGCCUGUUGAACUGUACACAAAUAGGCACUACUACAUAAAAUAGCUAUUUGAAACAGUUAUGCCAUUGCAGGGUAGAACAUUACUCUCAAGUAAAGGCUUCUAACUGUACAAUUAAAGUCUCAAUCUUCUUUUUUUAACAGAAUUUCUC
RNAcentral lists this long non-coding RNA (885 nucleotides) under Homo sapiens (human). Its description in RNAcentral is "non-protein coding BDNF-AS:25". The record is from RNAcentral. Lineage: Eukaryota; Metazoa; Chordata; Mammalia; Primates; Hominidae.